This is a small nuclear RNA of Callithrix jacchus (white-tufted-ear marmoset), 117 nucleotides long. Its record names the gene U5. It matches the Rfam family "U5 spliceosomal RNA". From Rfam's summary of the family: U5 RNA is a component of both types of known spliceosome. The precise function of this molecule is unknown, though it is known that the 5' loop is required for splice site selection and p220 binding, and that both the 3' stem-loop and the Sm site are important for Sm protein binding and cap methylation. The record is from Ensembl. Lineage: Eukaryota; Metazoa; Chordata; Mammalia; Primates; Cebidae.
AUACUUUGUUUUCUUUUCAAAUAAUGUAGAUCUUUUGCCUUUCACUAAAGAUUUCCAUGGGGACAAAUAGAUUUGAGUCACUAUGGGACUUUUUGAGGCAUUGUGUUUUACCGAUGC